UACAGAGGGGGCAAGCGUUGUUCGGAAUUACUGGGCGUAAAGGGCGCGUAGGCGGCCUGCUAAGUCGAACGUGAAAUCCCCGGGCUCAACCCGGGAACUGCGUCCGAUACUGGCAGGCUUGAAUUCGGGAGAGGGAUGCGGAAUUCCAGGUGUAGCGGUGAAAUGCGUAGAUAUCUGGAGGAACACCGGUGGCGAAGGCGGCAUCCUGGACCGGUAUUGACGCUGAUGCGCGAAAGCCAGGGGAGCAAACGGG
This 253-nucleotide ribosomal RNA is filed under the name uncultured bacterium. RNAcentral's name for it is "partial 16S ribosomal RNA". It matches the Rfam family "Bacterial small subunit ribosomal RNA", at positions 524 to 776 of the family's 1533-position model. The record is from RNAcentral.